CUGCAUGAAAGGCUGUACAACUUUACAUGUGGUCAAGAAUAAACGAGUCUCUGGCUUGCUUCUGACUCCAGCUUCUUUCCUUGGGCUGCCAACAGAGGAGCUGAGUGAUAGAAAAAGCUAACUAUUACCUGAACUAAAGCUAUUCAACAACAAAAGCUCAUCUUUAUAGAGGCAUGAAAGCUGUGAUUGGUCUGCAGUUGAUGCUGAUAGGAGUCUGUUGUGGUUUGAAAUCUUCCUGUGUUGCCAAGCUAAAUGGAGUUAAAUGCUAUGGAUCCUUGGGAGGAACAUUGAACAUUCAGAUAAUGGAUGAUGCCUCAAAAAUACCUUAUUUCAAGUGGGUAAAGAACCGCUCAGUGUUACUGCGCUGGAUGGCCAACAAGAUUGUAAGCCGUACAAGAGAUAGCAGGUUUAACUUUUUUCCGAGUAGUGGGACAGUUAGGAUCACUAACCUGACAGCGGAUGACAAUGGUCUAUAUAAACUUGAUAUGAUUAGUGAAAAUGGAAAAUAUGAAGGCUCAAAAGCUCUGCAGCUGUACGUCGAAGCUCCUGUGUCUUCUGCCUGGCUAGUCUCUAAAUGUGGGUCCUUGGGUACGCAGAGGGUGUUCUGCUUUUCUGGGGCAGGUAACAAUACUUGGUACGAAUGGACUCUGGAUGGACGACCACUGAAAGGCUUUGAGAAGAUGUAUGGAAACAUUCCAGCUAGCACCAUUCUUCUGGGAUCGAAGAAAACAGGCCGUCUGGUCUGCUCAAUCAGUAAUCACAUCAGUAAUUCCUUUACAGAGAUGAAGGUGACCAGCUGUGUGACGGGUGGGAGGAAAAAAUCUGGUUAGCCCUGGAUGAAACUGUCCCACAAAAAUCGUUGUGAAGAGGAAUAUAUUGACCAUUCUGCCCAGCAAUCAAGAGGCAACAGCUUGCCUCUUGUUGGCUGGAGAUCGACACCGGCCCGACUGGAGACCCUGCAAGGAUAAUCAUAUUCAGAUAAUGGAUGGAUGGAAGAAUAAAAUAUUAAAAACUUGAGAACUUCUCACUCUCCCAAAAGUGGAGGAUGCAGUGAUCCCUGUUCUGUUGAUUGAAAAGAAACAUUCUACUUGCUUAGCUUAUUCACAUGAAAAAUGAAUUUCCGAAGUGAAAUUUUAAAAUAUAAAUUCUUAUACAGAAAAUAUUGUAGAAUAAUCAUCACGAAUUCAAUACAUCAUGAACCGAGUUAUAAUUUAGUGUCCCUUUUCUGAUAUUUGUCUGUAACAGGUCUGGUCUUAUGUCUUAAGUUUGUCAUUCUUGAACUUUGAUAUUUUCACUAUCUUUCUGUUGUAUAGUGGUGCAUCUGCAAACGUGUUGUUUUUUUUUUUGCAUGGAAAAUUCAUUUAAUCAAACAUUAUUAAAAGUUAAGUAUCAUAAAGUAAUUUUUUAAAUUAAAUACAGUAGCUUUUAAACCACACAGCAUCAUACAUAAUGUGCCUUGUUUUCUUUCUUUCUUUUUUUUUGUAACAAUAUAACUUGUUGUCGGCAUCCUCUAAGAGGUGACUUAAACAACUUUAUUGAGAAAAAAAACAUUCUGAAUUUUUUUCAGCUGUAUGAAUAGCAGUGUGAAUACAUAUUUGUCUGCCUUG
Poecilia reticulata (guppy) is the source of this 1607-nucleotide long non-coding RNA. RefSeq lists it as uncharacterized. The record is from RefSeq and is a predicted model, not a curated record. NCBI's taxonomy places the organism in Eukaryota, Metazoa, Chordata, Actinopteri, Cyprinodontiformes, Poeciliidae.